RNAcentral lists this ribosomal RNA (316 nucleotides) under Leptospira borgpetersenii serovar Ballum. Its description in RNAcentral is "partial 23S ribosomal RNA". It matches the Rfam family "Bacterial large subunit ribosomal RNA", at positions 1560 to 1858 of the family's 2925-position model. Lineage: Bacteria; Pseudomonadati; Spirochaetota; Leptospiria; Leptospirales; Leptospiraceae. The record is from RNAcentral.
GGCGUGAUGACGAGGCACUACGGUGCUGAAGUGACAAAUGCCCUGCUUCCAGGAAAAGCCUCUAAGCAUCAGGUAACAUCAAAUCGUACCCCAAACCGACACAGGUGGUCAGGUAGAGAAUACCAAGGCGCUUGAGAGAACUCGGGUGAAGGAACUAGGCAAAAUGGUGCCGUAACUUCGGGAGAAGGCACGCUGACAUGUAGGUGAAGCCCCUGCGGGUGGAGCUGAAGUCAGUCGAAGAUACCAGCUGGCUGCAACUGUUUAUUAAAAACACAGCACUGUGCAAACACGAAAGUGGACGUAUACGGUGUGACGC